CCUACGGGUGGCAGCAGUGGGGGAUAUUGCACAAUGGGGGAAACCCUGAUGCAGCGACGCCGCGUGUGGGAAGACGGUCUUCUGGAUUGUAAACCACUGUCCCCAGGGACGAAAAUGACGGUACCUGGGGAGGAAGCUCCGGCUAACUACGUGCGAGCAGCCGCGGUAAUACGUAGGGGGCAAGCGUUGUCCGGAAUUACUGGGUGUAACGGGAGCGUAGGCGGGGAUGCAAGUUGUGUGUCAAAACUACCGGCUCAACCGAUAGUCGCACUCAAAACUGCAGCUCUGGUGGGAAGUAGAGGCAGGCGGAAUUCCUAGUGUAGCGGUGAAAUGCGUAGAUAUUAGGAGGAACACCAGUGGCGAAGGCGGCCUGCUGGGCUUUUACUGACGCUGAGGCUCGAAAGUGUGGGGAGCAAACAGGAUUAGAUACCCUUGUAGUC
This 440-nucleotide ribosomal RNA is filed under the name uncultured bacterium. RNAcentral describes it as "partial 16S ribosomal RNA". It matches the Rfam family "Bacterial small subunit ribosomal RNA", at positions 338 to 795 of the family's 1533-position model. The record is from RNAcentral.